UGGGGAAUAUUGCACAAUGGGGGAAACCCUGAUGCAGCAACGCCGCGUGAGUGAUGACGGCCUUCGGGUUGUAAAGCUCUGUCUUCAGGGACGAUAAUGACGGUACCUGAGGAGGAAGCCACGGCUAACUACGUGCCAGCAGCCGCGGUAAUACGUAGGUGGCGAGCGUUGUCCGGAUUUACUGGGCGUAAAGGGAGCGUAGGCGGACUUUUAAGUGAGAUGUGAAAUACCCGGGCUCAACUUGGGUGCUGCAUUUCAAACUGGAAGUCUAGAGUGCAGGAGAGGAGAAUGGAAUUCCUAGUGUAGCGGUGAAAUGCGUAGAGAUUAGGAAGAACACCAGUGGCGAAGGCGAUUCUCUGGACUGUAACUGACGCUGAGGCUCGAAAGCGUGGGGAGCAAACAG
This 403-nucleotide ribosomal RNA is filed under the name uncultured bacterium. Its description in RNAcentral is "bacterial SSU rRNA". It matches the Rfam family "Bacterial small subunit ribosomal RNA", at positions 355 to 775 of the family's 1533-position model. RNAcentral also lists the same sequence under 1 other name. The record is from RNAcentral.